This 71-nucleotide transfer RNA is filed under the name Bifidobacterium pullorum subsp. gallinarum. It matches the Rfam family "tRNA". Rfam says of the family: Transfer RNA (tRNA) molecules are approximately 80 nucleotides in length. Their secondary structure includes four short double-helical elements and three loops (D, anti-codon, and T loops). RNAcentral also lists the same sequence under 1 other name. The record is from RNAcentral. Lineage: Bacteria; Bacillati; Actinomycetota; Actinomycetes; Bifidobacteriales; Bifidobacteriaceae.
GCGGGGUAGCUCAGCUGGUUAGAGCGUACGACUCAUAAUCGUAAGGUCAAGAGUUCGAGUCUCUUCCUCGC